RNAcentral lists this ribosomal RNA (1356 nucleotides) under uncultured bacterium. RNAcentral's name for it is "16S ribosomal RNA". It matches the Rfam family "Bacterial small subunit ribosomal RNA". The record is from RNAcentral.
UAGAGUUUGAUCCUGGCUCAGGAUGAACGCUGGCGGCGUGCCUUAAGCAUGCCAGUCCAACGGGGUCCGCAAGGACCCAGUGGCGGACGGGUGAGUAACCGCUAGAAAUCCUACCCCUAGGUGGACCCUAGCUCCUCGAAAGAUGGGGUAAUAGUCCCUGGUUCCGGAAACGGUAAAGCAAUUAACUUUGCGCCCAGGGAGGAGUCUGCGUCCUAUCAGCUAGUUGGUGGGGUAAUGGCCUACCAAGGCAAUGACGGGUAGCUGGACUGAGAGGUCGAUCAGCCACAACUGCACUUAGACACGGGCAGUACACCUACGGGUGGCAGCAACUGGGAAUAUUGCGCAAUGGGGGAAACCCUGACGCAGCGACGCCGCGUGGAGGAUGAAGGCCUUAGGGUUGUAAACUCCUUUUAAUAGACCUUUCACGGUCUAUAGAAUAAGCCUCUACUAACUACGUGCCAGAAGUCUCGGUAAUACGUAGGAGGCGAGCGUUAUCCGGAUUUAUUGGGCGUAAAGUGUGCGUAGGCGGAUCGAUGUGUCUUCUCUUAAAGACUGAAGCUUAACUUCAGCAGUGGGGAAGAAACUAUCGAACUUGAGGAUUGUUAGGGAUGUCGGAACAGUUAGUGUAGCAGUGAAAUGCGUUGAUAUUAACUGGAACACCAAAGGCGAAGGCAGACAUCUGGGAUUUUCCUGACGCUGAGGCACGAAAGCUAGGGUAGCGAAACAGAUUAGAUACCUGUGUAGUCCUAGCUGUAAACGAUGUCCGCUAGCUCUGUGCGUUUACGUACGGGGUGUAAGCUAACGCGUUAAGCGGACCGCCUGGGGAGUACGGCCGCAAGGCUAAAACUCAAAGGAAUUGACGGGGACCCGCACAACCGGUGGAGCGUGUGGUUCAAUUCGAGACAAAACGAAAAACCUCACCAGGACUUGACAUGAUACCGUACAUUUUCCUAGAAAUAGGGAGAAAUCCGCAAGGAUGGUACCACAGGUGCUGCAUGGCUGUCGUCAGCUCGUGCCGUGAGGUGUUCCCUUAAGUGGGGAAACGAGCGCAACCCGCGUCCAAUGUGGAAUAUUCAUUGGAGACUGUCCCGGUUUUACCGGGGAGGAAGGAGCGGAAGACGUCAAGUCAGCACGGCCCUUAUGUCCUGGGCUACACACACACUACAAGGGCGAAAAACAACGGGCUGCAAGCCGGUAACGGCAAGCUAAUCCCUUAAAUUUCGCCUCAGUUCAGAUGGAGGUCGGCAACCGGACCUCAGGAAGUGGGAAUCGGUGGUAAUCGGGGAUCAGAAGGCCGCGGGGAAUACGUUCUGGGGUCUGGUACACACCGCCGGUCAAGGCAGCAAAGUCGGUAGU